AUGUCAAAAUGUCUCACGUGCCA
RNAcentral lists this non-coding RNA (23 nucleotides) under Rattus norvegicus (Norway rat). Lineage: Eukaryota; Metazoa; Chordata; Mammalia; Rodentia; Muridae. The record is from RNAcentral.